GACAGAGGCCUCGAGCGUUAGGCGGAAUCACUGGGCUUAAAGCGUGUGUAGGCGGACCUCUAAGUACCUUGUGAAAUCCCACGGCUCACCCGUGGAACCGCUGGGUAUACUGGGGGUCUUGGGCCACUCAGGGGCGACUGGAACAAGCGGUGGAGCGGUGAAAUGCGUAGAUAUCGCUUGGAACGCCAAAGGUGAAAACAGGUCGCUGGGAGUGCGCCGACGCUGAGACACGAAAGCCAGGGGAGCAAACGGG
This 253-nucleotide ribosomal RNA is filed under the name Tepidisphaera sp. RNAcentral describes it as "partial 16S ribosomal RNA". It matches the Rfam family "Bacterial small subunit ribosomal RNA", at positions 524 to 776 of the family's 1533-position model. RNAcentral also lists the same sequence under 1 other name. The record is from RNAcentral. Lineage: Bacteria; Pseudomonadati; Planctomycetota; Phycisphaerae; Tepidisphaerales; Tepidisphaeraceae.